This is a non-coding RNA of Acanthosepion pharaonis, 100 nucleotides long. Lineage: Eukaryota; Metazoa; Mollusca; Cephalopoda; Sepiida; Sepiidae. The record is from the annotation of a GenBank genome assembly.
GUUGAAACAUCGGUUCACGUAACAACAACCGAAGUUAAGCAACGUCGAUCCUGGUCAGUACUUAGAUGGGUGACCGCUUGGGAAUAACAGGUGCUGUAAG